Molecule: ribosomal RNA, 550 nt
Filed under: uncultured bacterium
Lineage: Bacteria
Description: bacterial SSU rRNA
Rfam family: Bacterial small subunit ribosomal RNA
Source: RNAcentral
GCUCGUAGGUGGUUUGUCGCGUUGUUCGUGAAAACUCACAGCUUAACUGUGGGCGUGCGGGCGAUACGGGCAGACUGGAGUACUGCAGGGGAGACUGGAAUUCCUGGUGUAGCGGUGGAAUGCGCAGAUAUCAGGAGGAACACCGGUGGCGAAGGCGGGUCUCUGGGCAGUAACUGACGCUGAGGAGCGAAAGCGUGGGGAGCGAACAGGAUUAGAUACCCUGGUAGUCCACGCCGUAAACGGUGGGUACUAGGUGUGGGUUUCCUUCCUUGGGAUCCGUGCCGUAGCUAACGCAUUAAGUACCCCGCCUGGGGAGUACGGCCGCAAGGCUAAAACUCAAAGAAAUUGACGGGGGCCCGCACAAGCGGCGGAGCAUGUGGAUUAAUUCGAUGCAACGCGAAGAACCUUACCUGGGUUUGACAUGCACAGGACGUGCCUAGAGAUGGGUAUUCCCUUGUGGCCUGUGUGCAGGUGGUGCAUGGCUGUCGUCAGCUCGUGUCGUGAGAUGUUGGGUUAAGUCCCGCAACGAGCGCAACCCUUGUCUCAUGUU